GAUGAACGCUGGCGGCGUGCCUAACACAUGCAAGUCGAACGCUCGCAAGAGAGUGGCGCACGGGUGAGUAACACGUAGCUAAUCUGCCCUCAAGACAAGGAUAACUGUAGGAAACUACUGCUAAUACUUGAUAAGCUUACGGACUGUAGAGGUCUAUAAGAAAAGAUUUAUCGCUUGAGGAUGAGGCUGCGCGCCAUCAGCUAGUUGGUAAGGUAAUGGCUUACCAAGGCGACGACGGCUAGGGGACCUGAGAGGGUGACCCCCCACACUGGGACGUGAGACACGGCCCGACGACUCCUACGGGAGGGCAGCAGUGAGGAAUAUUGCUCAAUAGGGCGGCAAGCCUGAAGACAGCGACGCCG
RNAcentral lists this ribosomal RNA (362 nucleotides) under uncultured bacterium. RNAcentral describes it as "bacterial SSU rRNA". It matches the Rfam family "Bacterial small subunit ribosomal RNA", at positions 28 to 399 of the family's 1533-position model. The record is from RNAcentral.